AGGCUUGAAUGCUAUUGAUAGCAAAAGAUUCUUUUUGCUAUCAAAUUUUUAACCCUUGGAUGAGAAAUUGUAGGGUUAGGAUGAUAUUAGUCCCUUAGGGUUAAAUAGUCCCCCUAGAAUUGAGUGGUCCCCGCUGGGUUGUAAUAUUUAAUUCAAUAAUUAGAAAUGAUGAAAAAAAAUAAUCCAAGGACUAAAAACUUGAUAGCAAAAAAGCCUUUUGCUAUCAAUAGUAUUCUAGCCCAACUCUCUC
RNAcentral lists this long non-coding RNA (250 nucleotides) under Ananas comosus (pineapple). RNAcentral describes it as "long non-coding RNA (ACOM_LNC033673)". Lineage: Eukaryota; Viridiplantae; Streptophyta; Magnoliopsida; Poales; Bromeliaceae. The record is from RNAcentral.